AGGCAAACUUCUAGCAGGAAAGAGGGUUGCUUGAAGAAAGUUGAAUAAAGGAACUACUUAUAAAGGUGUGCACACCUCUAUCUUCUGUACACUAAGGGGGAAGAGCUUCAGUGACCCCACCGUGGGAGUCUGGAGGAGUAGACACCUGACCUUACGCACUUCUCUGACACCUGCCAGUGCUGAAGACUCCAGAGGGUUGUACUUCAUGCAGAGUAGUAGAAGAAAAGAGGACAGUACCCCAUCGCUAAGAGCAUCCUAUGAGGAAACAAAGGUUAAAAAAGGUUACACAGCUAGUGAGCAGCAGAGCCCAGAUGUGAAUUCUAAGGGUGACUAUUGGUGUAAAUGUGUAAUUAGUACGCUUUUUU
This 365-nucleotide long non-coding RNA is filed under the name Zalophus californianus (California sea lion). RNAcentral's name for it is "lncRNA (ENSZCAG00015002596.1)". The record is from RNAcentral. Lineage: Eukaryota; Metazoa; Chordata; Mammalia; Carnivora; Otariidae.